RNAcentral lists this ribosomal RNA (573 nucleotides) under Triticum aestivum (bread wheat). Its description in RNAcentral is "partial small subunit ribosomal RNA". The record is from RNAcentral. Lineage: Eukaryota; Viridiplantae; Streptophyta; Magnoliopsida; Poales; Poaceae.
AUGCUACCCGCGAUCACCAAGGCGUGUGACCGCAUCCUCCACUACCUCGGAGGUGGUGGUUUCGGCGGUGCCUCCGGCUCUCGGGCCGUGGUAUCCGAGGCCGAGCGUGUGACGCGACAACAUGCGAGGUACGAUGGGCGCAGUGCCGGUUGCUGCUCCGCGUUCGCCAAGACGGACGUGGCGUCGGAGUGGGUCCGCAACGACCCGGACCUCGCCGCUGCAUGGGCGCUCAACCGCUCCGUCACCACCGUCGAGACGGCCGCUAGGCGCCGCCAUCGCGUUGACGGCGAGCUCCCCAAGAUUGACGAGAAGUGGUCGCUUAGCGACUGCUUCGCCAAUGCCGGCAGGGGCAAUGCCGCCGCCAGCACCUACGGCAGUGGCCAGGGCGGCCCUUCGCACCGCGCAACAGGAGGCGGAGCGGCUCUUCCGCGAGCGUUAGGCAACCGCCAGACAAGGCUGCCACGGACCUCCGGCAUCCUUCGCCGCCGGAGGGACGUCGACGACGACGGUGGUGCGGCAGGACAGGGCGGCCAUGCUUACGAGGUGGUCAUCCGAUAUACUCCAUGGGUUUAA